Felis catus (domestic cat) is the source of this 2966-nucleotide long non-coding RNA. RefSeq lists it as uncharacterized. The transcript has 2 exons. NCBI's taxonomy places the organism in Eukaryota, Metazoa, Chordata, Mammalia, Carnivora, Felidae. The record is from RefSeq and is a predicted model, not a curated record.
GCUGGGCUUACCUAUCUCAGAUAUGGGGAAGGGUGAGGGGGCAUUGCAGACACCUACCCAAUGACAUACAUGUCCACACUCAGGUUCUCUUUGUUGAGCUGAAGAAGAUCACUGAGGUCUAGAGGAGGUGCUGCAGAGGCCACGUUCCACGUCACAACAUGGAUGCUGUGGAAGGGAUGCAAAGGGAAGUCGUGGAGGAAGGAGGGAGGUCCCUGGAGCAUAACCAAAUUCUGCCAAACAUUUCAGGGAGCCCAAAGAGAAGAUCCUAAAUAACAAGGUUCUCAACAUCUCUCUCAAGAGUCUACCCUCUCUUGGGAAAAGUCAUCAGUUGGAUAACAUCCUCAACCUUGGCUUCAUGCUAGGGAAGCAACAGAACUUAGAUCAGCAGCUCUCAAUAACAAUGGAUCACAUCAGAGGCUCCGGGGAAAAGACACUUGCAGAUCUCUUUAAUUGAAUAGUUACAGCAAUACUCCCAGAGAGCCCGAUUCUGCUCAGUACAGAGCAGGCAGGAGCUACAAACCCUGCAGAGACCAAAGACAGCCACCAAUCCCUAGGUGAGUCCUAGGGACACUAUGAGGAGAGGAUCUGCAGCAGCUGCAAACAGAGAAUGAGAGCAGCUACAAGGGGGUUGAAAGAGGUGGGAGAGAAGGGCAGGACGUCUAAAACAUCUCUUCUUCACCAGAUCCUGUUCUCAGAGGUCCGUGUUCUAAAAAGCACAAUUUGAAAUUCUUGGCCUUUUUAAAACAACUUCCUGCCCCUCCCUAUGAACAUCAACAAAACAAUACACAAACCACCUUUCUAGGCAUUCGGCCAGAGAUUCUGGGCUACGUUAGUUUAAGAUCUCCCCCUGCUGUCCAACAAAGGAUUAAGAAAAGCAACCCUUUUAGUGCAAGGCUCUUUGUUUUCCCACGGACCAGCUCUAAAUGGAUGGAGAACAAAAGUCGGGAUUUCUUGCCCUCACUCUCAGAUCCGACGAUUAGCAGCAAAUCCCUGCAUUGUGACUUGCACUAAGUUGGUGAUUAGCGCUGUUCUUUGCUAAAGAGCAAGCAUGGGACCAGGCUAUAUCCCUUCGCUAAAGGAUCUUACCUAAAUCUGAUUUCGGAUUUCAGGAGAUCACAACGGGAUCAGGCAGACCCCGUGAUGUACGUGCUGAUCAAAAGAACAAGAUUUCUACUCUAGAGCUGACAGAAGAAUGCCUUGUUAUGUCUUUAACUUCAGACAGCCCGACACCGCUGCCUCCGCCAGUAGCAAACUGAGACACCUGCUUGGGGCACCCAAAUAGGAACGAGCUCGGCGGCUUGAAUUUGGAGGGGGCGCGGGGCUUGGGCCCAAAACAGCCCACUCGACAUCGGCUUGGGAGAACUGGGGAGGGCCUCUGAACUAGAAUCAGCCCUGUAGGCCUGGUCCUUUCUCUCCCAGUCUAGUUCUACCCCAGAUCCGCAGCCCGGAAUGGGUAGGAGGCAGUGAUCCUGCCCGGAGCAGGCCGGCCUGCCCGCAGCCGCCUUCCUCACCUAAGCGUCUUGCCUCUCGGUUCGGUUAAUUUCCGUGGGUUCACAGCCGCCAUCGUCCCAAGCAGCGGCCCGGCCGUCUCGUGUGUCCCCGCCACAGCCGCUCCUGGCCCGAUCCGCCUCCCUCCUGCAGGAGCUCCCGGCCAGCUUACUCUCACCAAUUGUUUUCCUUCCGGAUUCUGUCUCUCCGCCUCAGCUUCCGUAAGAGGCGGGGCUUGAGGGCACGAAGGGCUCUGAGUGGCUCGGCCCGGGGGAAGAGGCGGGCCUCUCCAACGAGCGCGAAACGGCGAAAGGCUGCGAGGAGAGAGGCUUAGGGGGGAUCCGGGCCAAAAGACAGGCACGUCUCUGUGUCGUCAGAACCCGACGCAACGAUGCCCCGCCCGGCGCGCCGGGCAUCUGUCACCGCCCCCCCCCCCGCGGCUCCCAGGGUGCCCCGCGCGAGGCCGGCCGGGAGGGGCUGUCUUCCUGGCGGAAGCUGCUGCGAGGCCCGCACCAGCAUCCUCGAGCCGGUGCGUUUCCCUAUCGUUGGAAAUGGGGUCUCUGACCUCUGCGCUGUGCCCCUCCACCUCCCCAACGCCCAGAGACCCAAAAGGCGAAGGUUGAGGGUGGGGUGGCAACCCAGCCACUGUCCUGCCUGUAAACCAUUCUCUCUGCCCCUCAUCUACAGGUAAUCGCUCUCAUGUUGGUCAUUGAGCUCCUCCGUCGUUCCUCUCCACUCCCACUUUAAAGUGCUUCUCGCUUUUCAAACUCAUUAGGUUAUGUAUUACACGUUAGACGCUGGAGGUUCCUGGACUCUUAAAAAAAAAAAUUAGCCACCAAAGAAUGAAAAACCACUCCCUAUAUUUGAUGAAUAUCAGAUGAUUGUUUUGCCAAAGAUUAACACAGAUUUUCUUCAGAUAACUGGUCCUUAAUCUUUUUUGGCAGUGGGGAGGACGGUGCAUGGGAUUCCUUUGAGGAUCCGAUGAGAACCAUGACUCCCCAGAAGAACGCACAAUUUCACAAACAAGUGUUAUGAGGUUCACAGACCUGGGCCUUUUUUUUUUUUUUUUUUUAAAUAAAUGUUUUGAUGGGUAGGAUGGUAAAAAAGAGGGAGAUGUGAAGAGGAGGAGAGACCAAAGCAAAAGGGAAAUACUGCCAAUAUAAAGUGGCAGAAUUCCUUUCAAAUACGUGAUGUCUGCGUAAGUACAAUGACGAGGGGAUGUUUUAAUUUACAGAAAUUGGCCUAAAAAUUUUGGAGACAUCUUGUAUUUUUUUCUAAUCCUGGUAAAAUGGAGGACAUCAGCAGAAGUUGGAGCAUAUCUAAGUUGUAAAAUGGACAUAAGGACAUCACCAAUAAGCUGGACUCCAGAAAUCUCUGUCUAGGAUUUUAUUAGACUGCUUUUCUCCCCCCAGUAUACCUGUUUCGGAAGAUUGAGACAAAAAGGCACAAACUCACAUUAAAUAAACAAGGUAAUCUAA